This 1003-nucleotide ribosomal RNA is filed under the name Staphylococcus aureus W42932. RNAcentral describes it as "bacterial SSU rRNA". It matches the Rfam family "Bacterial small subunit ribosomal RNA", at positions 8 to 992 of the family's 1533-position model. The record is from RNAcentral. Lineage: Bacteria; Bacillati; Bacillota; Bacilli; Caryophanales; Staphylococcaceae.
AGAGUUUGAUCCUGGCUCAGGAUGAACGCUGGCGGCGUGCCUAAUACAUGCAAGUCGAGCGAACGGACGAGAAGCUUGCUUCUCUGAUGUUAGCGGCGGACGGGUGAGUAACACGUGGAUAACCUACCUAUAAGACUGGGAUAACUUCGGGAAACCGUAGCUAAUACCGGAUAAUAUUUUGAACCGCAUGGUUCAAAAGUGAAAGACGGUCUUGCUGUCACUUAUAGAUGGAUCCGCGCUGCAUUAGCUAGUUGGUAAGGUAACGGCUUACCAAGGCAACGAUGCAUAGCCGACCUGAGAGGGUGAUCGGCCACACUGGAACUGAGACACGGUCCAGACUCCUACGGGAGGCAGCAGUAGGGAAUCUUCCGCAAUGGGCGAAAGCCUGACGGAGCAACGCCGCGUGAGUGAUGAAGGUCUUCGGAUCGUAAAACUCUGUUAUUAGGGAAGAACAUAUGUGUAAGUAACUGUGCACAUCUUGACGGUACCUAAUCAGAAAGCCACGGCUAACUACGUGCCAGCAGCCGCGGUAAUACGUAGGUGGCAAGCGUUAUCCGGAAUUAUUGGGCGUAAAGCGCGCGUAGGCGGUUUUUUAAGUCUGAUGUGAAAGCCCACGGCUCAACCGUGGAGGGUCAUUGGAAACUGGAAAACUUGAGUGCAGAAGAGGAAAGUGGAAUUCCAUGUGUAGCGGUGAAAUGCGCAGAGAUAUGGAGGAACACCAGUGGCGAAGGCGACUUUCUGGUCUGUAACUGACGCUGAUGUGCGAAAGCGUGGGGAUCAAACAGGAUUAGAUACCCUGGUAGUCCACGCCGUAAACGAUGAGUGCUAAGUGUUAGGGGGUUUCCGCCCCUUAGUGCUGCAGCUAACGCAUUAAGCACUCCGCCUGGGGAGUACGACCGCAAGGUUGAAACUCAAAGGAAUUGACGGGGACCCGCACAAGCGGUGGAGCAUGUGGUUUAAUUCGAAGCAACGCGAAGAACCUUACCAAAUCUUGACAUCCUUU